This 497-nucleotide ribosomal RNA is filed under the name uncultured bacterium. RNAcentral describes it as "partial 16S ribosomal RNA". It matches the Rfam family "Bacterial small subunit ribosomal RNA", at positions 28 to 507 of the family's 1533-position model. The record is from RNAcentral.
GACGAACGCUGGCGGCGUGCCUAAUACAUGCAAGUUGAGCGCUGAAGGUUGGUACUUGUACCAACUGGAUGAGCAGCGAACGGGUGAGUAACGCGUGGGGAAUCUGCCUUUGAGCGGGGGACAACAUCUGGAAACGAAUGCUAAUACCGCAUAAUAACUUUAAACACAAGUUUUAAGUUUGAAAGAUGCAUUUGCUUCACUCAAAGAAGAUCCCGCGUUGUAUUAGCUAGUUGGUGAGGUAAAGGCCCACCAAGGCGAUGAUACCUAGCCGACCCGAGAGGGGGAUCGGCCACAAUGGGACCGAGACACGGCUCAAACUUCUACGGGAAGCAGCAGUAGGGGAACUUCGGCAAAGGGCGGAAGGCUGACCGAGCAACGCCGCGUGGGGGAAGAAGGUUUUCGGAUCGUAAAACUCUGUUUGUAGGGAAGGACGUGGGGGAGAAUGAAAAGCUCAUCAAGUGACGGUAACUACCCAGAAAGGGACGGCUAACUACGUG